RNAcentral lists this ribosomal RNA (351 nucleotides) under uncultured bacterium. RNAcentral's name for it is "bacterial SSU rRNA". It matches the Rfam family "Bacterial small subunit ribosomal RNA", at positions 355 to 720 of the family's 1533-position model. The record is from RNAcentral.
UCAAGAAACUUCCACAAUGGGCGAAAGCCUGAUGGAGCGACGUCGCGUGAUGGACGAAGUGCUUCGGCACGUAAACAUCUUUUAUGUGGGAUGAAAUUAUUGACAGUACCACAUGAAUAAGGGGCUCCUAACUCUGUGCCAGCAGGAGCGGUAAUACAGAGGCCCCAAGCGUUAUCCGGAAUCACUGGGCGUAAAGGGUGUCGAGGCGGUUGUAUUAGUCGUUCGUAAAAUCUACGAGCUUAACUUGUAGGCGGCGAACGAAACGGUACGACUUGAGGUUUGGAGAGGUGCGUGGAACUCACGGUGUAGGGGUGAAAUCCGUUGAUAUCGUGGGGAACACCAAAGGCGAAG